RNAcentral lists this transfer RNA (71 nucleotides) under Marmota monax (woodchuck). RNAcentral's name for it is "tRNA.Ala". It matches the Rfam family "tRNA". Rfam says of the family: Transfer RNA (tRNA) molecules are approximately 80 nucleotides in length. Their secondary structure includes four short double-helical elements and three loops (D, anti-codon, and T loops). The record is from RNAcentral. Lineage: Eukaryota; Metazoa; Chordata; Mammalia; Rodentia; Sciuridae.
GGGGUUGUGGCUCAGCGGUAGAGCACUUGCCUAGCAAGUGUGAGGCCCUGAGUUUGAUCCUCAGCACCACA